Molecule: non-coding RNA, 318 nt
Organism: Misgurnus anguillicaudatus (oriental weatherfish)
Lineage: Eukaryota; Metazoa; Chordata; Actinopteri; Cypriniformes; Cobitidae
Source: RefSeq, a predicted model, not a curated record
GGAAAGCUACGAGAUUCCACACUUUCAUCUGAAUUUUUACUUCAGAAAGGGUUGAUGACGUAUGCGAGUGCGACCUCCGCAGGCUGAAACCAGUCUCUCGAGCUGAAAGAAAACGCAGCUGAGGAGAUAUGAGGAAACUUCCACCUACAGUAAGCAGAUGCUGAGGCCCAGAUUUCCAUGCUAAGCACUCCAAGGCUCAUCAUGCUCGGAGAGUCCAAUCUGAGGGCAAAAAAUGGAUGCUUUCCAUCGAGGGCAGAGUUCUCCUCCAAUUGAGUGACGGUUGUGAUUUCACUUCUGCUCUAGCCUUUUUGCGUCAUA